RNAcentral lists this ribosomal RNA (217 nucleotides) under uncultured fungus. Its description in RNAcentral is "partial small subunit ribosomal RNA". The stretch from base 90 to 217 matches the Rfam family "Eukaryotic small subunit ribosomal RNA", at positions 735 to 864 of the family's 1831-position model. The record is from RNAcentral. Lineage: Eukaryota; Fungi.
GCCUCUGCCUGCUGGUCCGCCAUUUGGUGUGUACUGGUUUCGGUGGAGGCUUACCUCCUGGUGAGCCGGCAUGCCCUUUACUGGGUGUGUUGGUGAACCCGGACUUUUACUUUGAAAAAAUUAGAGUGUUCAAAGCAGGCAUUUGCCCGAAUACAUUAGCAUGGAAUAAUAGAAUAGGACGUGCGUUUCUAUUUUGUUGGUUUCUAGGAUCGCCGUA